This 3021-nucleotide ribosomal RNA is filed under the name Bacillus toyonensis. Its description in RNAcentral is "23S ribosomal RNA". It matches the Rfam family "Bacterial large subunit ribosomal RNA". The record is from RNAcentral. Lineage: Bacteria; Bacillati; Bacillota; Bacilli; Caryophanales; Bacillaceae.
GGUUAAGUUAGAAAGGGCGCACGGUGGAUGCCUUGACACUAGGAGUCGAUGAAGGACGGGACUAACGCCGAUAUGCUUCGGGGAGCUGUAAGUAAGCUUUGAUCCGAAGAUUUCCGAAUGGGGAAACCCACUAUACGUAAUGGUAUGGUAUCCUUACCUGAAUACAUAGGGUAUGGAAGACAGACCCAGGGAACUGAAACAUCUAAGUACCUGGAGGAAGAGAAAGCAAAUGCGAUUUCCUGAGUAGCGGCGAGCGAAACGGAAUCUAGCCCAAACCAAGAGGCUUGCCUCUUGGGGUUGUAGGACAUUCUAUACGGAGUUACAAAGGAACGAGGUAGACGAAGCGACCUGGAAAGGUCCGUCGUAGAGGGUAACAACCCCGUAGUCGAAACUUCGUUCUCUCUUGAAUGUAUCCUGAGUACGGCGGAACACGUGAAAUUCCGUCGGAAUCUGGGAGGACCAUCUCCCAAGGCUAAAUACUCCCUAGUGAUCGAUAGUGAACCAGUACCGUGAGGGAAAGGUGAAAAGCACCCCGGAAGGGGAGUGAAAGAGAUCCUGAAACCGUGUGCCUACAAAUAGUCAGAGCCCGUUAAUGGGUGAUGGCGUGCCUUUUGUAGAAUGAACCGGCGAGUUACGAUCCCGUGCGAGGUUAAGUUGAAGAGACGGAGCCGCAGCGAAAGCGAGUCUGAAUAGGGCGUUUAGUACGUGGUCGUAGACCCGAAACCAGGUGAUCUACCCAUGUCCAGGGUGAAGUUCAGGUAACACUGAAUGGAGGCCCGAACCCACGCACGUUGAAAAGUGCGGGGAUGAGGUGUGGGUAGCGGAGAAAUUCCAAUCGAACCUGGAGAUAGCUGGUUCUCCCCGAAAUAGCUUUAGGGCUAGCCUUAAGUGUAAGAGUCUUGGAGGUAGAGCACUGAUUGAACUAGGGGUCCUCAUCGGAUUACCGAAUUCAGUCAAACUCCGAAUGCCAAUGACUUAUCCUUAGGAGUCAGACUGCGAGUGAUAAGAUCCGUAGUCAAGAGGGAAACAGCCCAGAUCGCCAGCUAAGGUCCCAAAGUGUGUAUUAAGUGGAAAAGGAUGUGGAGUUGCUUAGACAACUAGGAUGUUGGCUUAGAAGCAGCCACCAUUUAAAGAGUGCGUAAUAGCUCACUAGUCGAGUGACUCUGCGCCGAAAAUGUACCGGGGCUAAAUACACCACCGAAGCUGCGAAUUGAUACCAAUGGUAUCAGUGGUAGGGGAGCGUUCUAAGUGCAGUGAAGUCAGACCGGAAGGACUGGUGGAGCGCUUAGAAGUGAGAAUGCCGGUAUGAGUAGCGAAAGACGGGUGAGAAUCCCGUCCACCGAAUGCCUAAGGUUUCCUGAGGAAGGCUCGUCCGCUCAGGGUUAGUCAGGACCUAAGCCGAGGCCGACAGGCGUAGGCGAUGGACAACAGGUUGAUAUUCCUGUACCACCUCUUUAUCGUUUGAGCAAUGGAGGGACGCAGAAGGAUAGAAGAAGCGUGCGAUUGGUUGUGCACGUCCAAGCAGUUAGGCUGAUAAGUAGGCAAAUCCGCUUAUCGUGAAGGCUNNNNNNNNNNNNNNNNNNNNNNNNNNNNNNNNNNNNNNNNNNNNNNNNNNNNNNNNNNNNNNNNNNNNNNNNNNNNNNNNNNNNNUUAUCGUGAAGGCUGAGCUGUGAUGGGGAAGCUCCUUAUGGAGCGAAGUCUUUGAUUCCCCGCUGCCAAGAAAAGCUUCUAGCGAGAUAAAAGGUGCCUGUACCGCAAACCGACACAGGUAGGCGAGGAGAGAAUCCUAAGGUGUGCGAGAGAACUCUGGUUAAGGAACUCGGCAAAAUGACCCCGUAACUUCGGGAGAAGGGGUGCUUUCUUAACGGAAAGCCGCAGUGAAUAGGCCCAAGCGACUGUUUAGCAAAAACACAGGUCUCUGCGAAGCCGUAAGGCGAAGUAUAGGGGCUGACACCUGCCCGGUGCUGGAAGGUUAAGGAGAGGGGUUAGCGUAAGCGAAGCUCUGAACUGAAGCCCCAGUAAACGGCGGCCGUAACUAUAACGGUCCUAAGGUAGCGAAAUUCCUUGUCGGGUAAGUUCCGACCCGCACGAAAGGUGUAACGAUUUGGGCACUGUCUCAACCAGAGACUCGGUGAAAUUAUAGUACCUGUGAAGAUGCAGGUUACCCGCGACAGGACGGAAAGACCCCGUGGAGCUUUACUGUAGCCUGAUAUUGAAUUUUGGUACAGUUUGUACAGGAUAGGCGGGAGCCAUUGAAACCGGAGCGCUAGCUUCGGUGGAGGCGCUGGUGGGAUACCGCCCUGACUGUAUUGAAAUUCUAACCUACGGGUCUUAUCGACCCGGGAGACAGUGUCAGGUGGGCAGUUUGACUGGGGCGGUCGCCUCCUAAAGUGUAACGGAGGCGCCCAAAGGUUCCCUCAGAAUGGUUGGAAAUCAUUCGUAGAGUGCAAAGGCAUAAGGGAGCUUGACUGCGAGACCUACAAGUCGAGCAGGGACGAAAGUCGGGCUUAGUGAUCCGGUGGUUCCGCAUGGAAGGGCCAUCGCUCAACGGAUAAAAGCUACCCCGGGGAUAACAGGCUUAUCUCCCCCAAGAGUCCACAUCGACGGGGAGGUUUGGCACCUCGAUGUCGGCUCAUCGCAUCCUGGGGCUGUAGUCGGUCCCAAGGGUUGGGCUGUUCGCCCAUUAAAGCGGUACGCGAGCUGGGUUCAGAACGUCGUGAGACAGUUCGGUCCCUAUCCGUCGUGGGCGUAGGAAAUUUGAGAGGAGCUGUCCUUAGUACGAGAGGACCGGGAUGGACGCACCGCUGGUGUACCAGUUGUUCUGCCAAGGGCAUAGCUGGGUAGCUAUGUGCGGAAGGGAUAAGUGCUGAAAGCAUCUAAGCAUGAAGCCCCCCUCAAGAUGAGAUUUCCCAUAGCGUAAGCUAGUAAGAUCCCUGAAAGAUGAUCAGGUUGAUAGGUUCGAGGUGGAAGCAUGGUGACAUGUGGAGCUGACGAAUACUAAUAGAUCGAGGACUUAACCAU